RNAcentral lists this ribosomal RNA (489 nucleotides) under Tetracladium psychrophilum. RNAcentral's name for it is "eukaryotic LSU rRNA". The stretch from base 128 to 281 matches the Rfam family "5.8S ribosomal RNA". The record is from RNAcentral. Lineage: Eukaryota; Fungi; Ascomycota; Leotiomycetes; Helotiales.
GUGUAUACCUUACCUUUGUUGCUUUGGCGGGCCGCCUAGCUACUGGCUUCGGCUGGUAAGUGCCCGCCAGAGAACCCCAAACCCAAACCAUUAUCAGUAUCGUCUGAGUACAAAUUUUAAUAUUUAAAACUUUCAACAACGGAUCUCUUGGCUCUGGCAUCGAUGAAGAACGCAGCGAAAUGCGAUAAGUAAUGUGAAUUGCAGAAUUCAGUGAAUCAUCGAAUCUUUGAACGCACAUUGCGCCCCUUGGUAUUCCGAGGGGCAUGCCUAUUCGAGCGUCAUUAUCACCCCUCAAGCUCCGGCUUGGUGUUGAGGCCUGCCGUCCCGGCACCCUCUAAAAUCAGUGGCAGUGCCCUCAGGCUCUAAGCGUAGUAAUUUAUCGCUACAGGGUCCCGUGGGAUGCUCGCCAGAACCCCCCCAUUUUUAAUGAUUGACCUCGGAUUAGGUAGGGAUACCCGCUGAACUUAAGCAUAUCAAUAAGCGGAGGAA